This 561-nucleotide ribosomal RNA is filed under the name Triticum aestivum (bread wheat). RNAcentral describes it as "partial small subunit ribosomal RNA". Lineage: Eukaryota; Viridiplantae; Streptophyta; Magnoliopsida; Poales; Poaceae. The record is from RNAcentral.
AUGGAAAAGCGCGAAGCGCUACUCAAUGCCAAAGUGAGAGAUCUUGCCGCCCGGGAACAAACCCGUACUACAACUCUCCAUGGCAAGGACAUAGAAAUUGAAGCACUCCUCAAGCAGCAGACCCAAGGGCUGGAGGAUAGUCAUAAGAAAUCCAUCGAGACCCAAGCCUUGGAAAACGCUGCAAAGCUUAAGGAAGUUGCUAAUGAAGCUGCCGCUGUUACUACUGCCAAGGAAGAUCUUGAAAUCCAGGUGGGAAAAUUGAAAGAAGAUCUUGUCGACAGCGGCAAAGAGAUCGAGGCCCUCAAAGGCGAAGCGCAGAAAGCAACCCUUGCUCUGGGGGAACUGCAGUCACAAAUUUUGGCCAAGGAUCAAGAACUAAAUGAUGCCGCCAUCAUAGCCGAAGACGUAAAAUCCAAACUUGCCGGCCUGGAAUCGAAUCUUGAAUCCACGAAGGAAUGGGAUAAACUCUCGGCGGAGAAGCUUGCCGCAUCGGAAACUCUCCAGAAGAAUACUGAGGCCAACUUGCAUAGCUGCAUGAGAUGCAUUCCAUCUGGACGAUGA